RNAcentral lists this transfer RNA (63 nucleotides) under Hemathlophorus sp. RNAcentral describes it as "tRNA-Gly". The record is from RNAcentral. Lineage: Eukaryota; Metazoa; Arthropoda; Insecta; Hymenoptera; Tenthredinidae.
AUUUAUAUAAUAUAAAAAGUAUAGUUGAUUUCCAAUCAAAAAGUCUAAAAUUUAGUAUAAAUA